Molecule: ribosomal RNA, 378 nt
Filed under: Lynceus triangularis
Lineage: Eukaryota; Metazoa; Arthropoda; Branchiopoda; Diplostraca; Lynceidae
Description: partial large subunit ribosomal RNA
Rfam family: Bacterial large subunit ribosomal RNA
Source: RNAcentral
CCGCGGUAAUUUGACCGUGCUAAGGUAGCAUAAUCAUUUGUCUUUUAAUUGAAGACUGGUAUGAAAGGUGAUACGAGAAAUGAGCUGUCUUUGUAAAAUACAUUGAAUUUUAUUUUUUAGUGAAAAAGCUAAAAUGAUUUUGUGGGACGAUAAGACCCUAUAGAUCUUUAUUAAAUUACAUUAAUUAACUAAUGUAAUUUAAUUUUAUUGGGGCGAUAAAAAGAAAUAAACAUCUCUUUUAUUUGUAAAAUAUUUAUUAAUAGAUAUUGUUUAAUGAUCCUAAAAGAUGGAUUAAUAGAAUAAGUUACCUUAGGGAUAACAGCGUAAUAUUUUUUGAGAGUUCUUAUCGAAAAAGAUGUUUGCGACCUCGAUGUUGGA